This 614-nucleotide long non-coding RNA is filed under the name Homo sapiens (human). Its description in RNAcentral is "HSALNT0359415". The record is from RNAcentral. Lineage: Eukaryota; Metazoa; Chordata; Mammalia; Primates; Hominidae.
GCUGCCGCCCCUGGCCUGCCAGGACCCAGAGGGAGCGGAGCACGCGCCUUUGGGAAUCUUCGGUGCGCCAAGUCUGUUCGCCGCCGGGGUCUAUCACCCCCGCCCCUCGCCUCUGCCCGUGAGCGUGUGAGUUGUAGCGUACCCUGGGGUCUGUUCUGGAGGAGGCCUGAGAGCGGGGUUGCCUGGGGCGUGGGUCUCUCAUCCCUCUCGUCCUGGUGAAGAAGAAGAGUAUACCCAGCGGAAUGGCCUGUCCAGAAGACAGCCAAAUACAUCCUUCAAACAGACUUCACUGCAGGAGACAGAGUGGAUUCAUCCUGUAUUCUCCAUGUAGACUUCCAUCUUCAUGAGUACUCCAAGAAGAUGGUUCAGUUGACUAUUGCAAAGUCUCAGGUAUGUCUUUAUCAGCAGCAUGAAAAUGGACUAAUAGUACCAGUAGAGUGGGGCAUUGCUGAAAAGAUACCCGAAAAUGUGGAAGCAACUUUGGAACUGGGUGUUGAAAUAAUCUGGAGGGCUCAGAAGAAGAUAGGAAAAUGUAGGAAAGUUUGGAACCUCCUAGAGACUGUGAAUGGCAUUGACAAAAAUACUGAUAGUGAUAUGAACAAUAAGGUCCAGGC